Molecule: long non-coding RNA, 392 nt
Filed under: Chelonoidis abingdonii (Abingdon island giant tortoise)
Lineage: Eukaryota; Metazoa; Chordata; Testudines; Testudinidae
Description: lncRNA (ENSCABG00000015182.1)
Source: RNAcentral
GCUCCUGCUGCUCUUGCUUCAGGCUACCCGCCCUGCGCAGGCUGCAACAAAUAGUUCAGUCCAAGAUGUCUGUGCCACUUGCCAUGCUAACGCCACAUGUCAGCAAAAAGAAGGCAAAAACAUCUGCAUCUGUAACUAUGGAUUUGUGGGUAAUGGGAGGACUCACUGUCAAGAUAAAGAUGAAUGCCAGAUUGGAGCGAGCAAGAUCUGUGGCGAGCAUACGUCAUGUCACAAUACACAUGGAAGUUUUUACUGCAUUUGUCUUGAAGGAUACCAUCCCUCUAACAACAACAAGACAUUUAUUCCCAAUGAUGGCACGUAUUGUACAGAUAUAGAUGAAUGCCAGCUCUCAGGUCUGUGUGGUGUCGGGGGACGAUGUGUGAACACUGUUG